GAAGUAAAAGUCGUAACAAGGUUUCCGUAGGUGAACCUGCGGAAGGAUCAUUAACGAAAUCGGACUUCGGUCUGGUGACGUCUCUCUUGCUGUGCGCCUUUUGGCUGCACGCUUGGGAAUCCACACACCUGUGCACACUCGGUUGGCGGGCUUCGGCCCGCCUCUCGCCUACACUUACUUUGUAUGUCUCGAAUGUCUAUUAUCUUAUGAUAAAAAAAUACAACUUUCAGCAACGGAUCUCUUGGCUCUCGCAUCGAUGAAGAACGCAGCGAAAUGCGAUACGUAAUGUGAAUUGCAGAAUUCAGUGAAUCAUCGAAUCUUUGAACGCACCUUGCACCCCGUGGUUCUCCACGGGGUACGCCCGUUCGAGUGUCACGUAAACCAUCGCCUAAGCAAAGCUAGCUUUGCUCUGGCGGAUCUGGACGCCUGCCGUCGUUGGCUCGUCCGAAAUGCAUUAGCGAGGGUGGUCUCUCUAAACCGCUUGGCGUGAUAUUUCCUUCUCGCCUGUUGGUUCGGUCUAGGAGACGGCUCUGCUCCGAAUCCCGUCGCGUCGACGGAACAUUACAAAGUUUGACCUCGAAUCGGGUGGGACUACCCGUUGAACUUAAGCAUAUCAAUAAGCGGAGGA
Molecule: ribosomal RNA, 628 nt
Filed under: uncultured fungus
Lineage: Eukaryota; Fungi
Description: eukaryotic LSU rRNA
Rfam family: 5.8S ribosomal RNA (bases 222-375)
Source: RNAcentral